AUUGAACGCUGGCGGCAGGCCUAACACAUGCAAGUCGAACGAGUGGCGGACGGGUGAGUAAUGUCUGGGAAACUGCCUGAUGGAGGGGGAUAACUACUGGAAACGGUAGCUAAUACCGCAUACCAUCAGAUGUGCCCAGGUGGGCUUGGCUUGUUGGGGGGGUAACGGCUCACCAAGGCGACGAUCCCUAGCUGGGCUGAGAGGAGGACCGGCUACACUGGGACUGAGACACGGCCCAGACUCCUACGGAAGGCAGCAGUGGGGAAUAUUGCACAAUGGGCGAAAGCCUGAUGCAGCAAUGCCGCGUGUAUGAAGAAGGCCUUCGGGUUGUAAAGUACUUUCAGCGGGGAGGCGUUACCCGCAGAAGAAGCACCGGCUAACUCCGUGCCAGCAGCCGCGGUAAUAC
This 406-nucleotide ribosomal RNA is filed under the name uncultured bacterium. RNAcentral's name for it is "partial 16S ribosomal RNA". It matches the Rfam family "Bacterial small subunit ribosomal RNA", at positions 30 to 526 of the family's 1533-position model. The record is from RNAcentral.